This 530-nucleotide ribosomal RNA is filed under the name uncultured bacterium. Its description in RNAcentral is "bacterial SSU rRNA". It matches the Rfam family "Bacterial small subunit ribosomal RNA", at positions 28 to 537 of the family's 1533-position model. The record is from RNAcentral.
GACGAACGCUGGCGGCGUGCUUAACACAUGCAAGUCGAACGGUGACGAGGAGCUUGCUCCUCUGAUCAGUGGCGAACGGGUGAGUAACACGUGAGCAACCUGCCCCAGACUCUGGGAUAACAGUUGGAAACAGCUGCUAAUACCGGAUACGAGACGGAGAGGCAUCUCUACCGUCUGGAAAGUUUUUCGGUCUGGGAUGGACUCGCGGCCUAUCAGCUAGUUGGUGAGGUAAUGGCUCACCAAGGCGACGACGGGUAGCCGGCCUGAGAGGGCGACCGGCCACACUGGGACUGAGACACGGCCCAGACUCCUACGGGAGGCAGCAGUGGGGAAUAUUGCACAAUGGGCGAAAGCCUGAUGCAGCGACGCCGCGUGAGGGAUGACGGCCUCGGUUGGUUAACGUACUUCUACGUCAGGAAGGAAGGACGGAAACGUAGAACGGUACCGUACGGUCGACGAAGAAGGACACCGGCCGUAACGUAACCGUUACGGACCGACGACAACGGCCGCCGGUAAAACGGUAACGGUUA